UAUGUUAGUUUUCGCGCGGGUGGGUGGGGUGGGGUGGGUGGGCCAAGAUGGUAGACACUGAAACCAAUCUAUAUUUUCAAAUUCUGUUAAGAGACAUUGCCUUGCGUUUUGAUGCUUACGGAAUAUUUAUCACAUGCCGUGCUCAAAAUGUAGUAAACUAAUUUUAGAGAGUUGCGUAAAUACAAGCCUGCAGAAUUGCUCCUGCAGCUGGAUAAUUGGAACCAAAAAUGGUCUUUACAAUGGAUGGCUAGGUGUUUUGAUGGUCCUUACCUUAUUGACCGCAACUUCUGUAUUUACAAUCAUAUUCGUAUCUGCCCCUCUAGUGGAUAGGCUUCUAUUCAUGAGCCUGUUUUUGGUUUUAUGGAAACAAUCAAACAAUAUAAUAUAUAUAUCCCUGGUGCUAUUAUUUCUACUUCUGUAGUUUAGCAGACAAAUUGAUAACUUCGGCAUUCCUUGCUCACUGAGCAAAGACGUUGGUUUCUUGGUCAGAGCGGCACUUUUCCGUAUCGGGCUAUUUCUACAUAGCCGAAGUCGUCUGAAAUGAAAAUUGCAAGCACAAUUUUUGGAGGGAUUUUUUCGUAUGGUAAUCUGCGUUGGUUACAAAAAACUAGCCAUUUAUCGAUACUGCUAGUAAGUAUAUGCAGAUCCUUUAUAGCGUAUUUUUUCACUCUGCAAGGACCAAGAUAAAAUCAAAUAGAUACCUAUGGUAAAAAGAUGGCGAAAUUCUUGAUUGUUGGUGCAUGCCUGACCCUCGAUAGCGGGGCCCAUCCUCACGUCGAUGAAUGCAGAAGCACCAUUUCUCUCUUUUGCUAAAUUUCCACCUAUAUGAAUGGUGUGGCCCAUCCCUGGCGAGCCAUGAUUCCACUGGAUAUGCUUUUAGAAAGAUUAUUGACCAUGGAGGUAAUUUGUAGCACUGUAUUAUUAUGAAUAGAAAUCAGCAAAUAUGUACCAUAACAGUCCAAAUUCCAUUGAUUGCGCUUUCAAGGAUAAUAGUACCCCAUUGCAAAAUAUUCUAGCUUACUGUUUUUUUUGAACCGGGCAUAACCCCUUUCCAUUAACCAAAUAACGGAAAUACAUCAGUCCAAAUCAGACAGAAAGGAUGCGGGAACGGGGAAAGCGAGUCCAACGCAUCGUCGGGAAACCUACUGUAGGUGCUCGUCAUCGAGACACCCACUGCAGGGCGAAAACCCAAUGACACCACCAACUGCCCUGUAACCAGUUAAGCUCACGCAGGAGCAAAAUAGUCAUUACUCUCGCAGGAGUAGGUGCACGCAGAUCACGGAAUAGAGCAGUCAUAAGGAAGAAACAUAGGAACUCAAAAGAGACGGUAACCAGCGCCAGCAACCAGUGCUUCUCAUACCGCACCCGAACUCCUCAAGCGCUUAAGCAGAGGAUGACGUUUUCCCUGUGCAGCUGCACAAAUUCUCAUCAUGUUCCUUGCCUUGUCUUUCAGCACUGCAGCACAAUAUUGUAGAUUUGUCGUUUCCUUUGUAUAGUGCCAUAUUUUAUUUGGAAUGUUGUAGAGCAAACUAACCCUUGUUACGGAUAGUGAUGAGGAGCUGUCUGCUGUUCUCUUAAGCUCUUUGCUGGGUGAAAAGAGAAUGGUGUUGGGACGUUUGGUGGAGCUGAGUGGCAAAGAAGAAUCGGGGCCAAACAAUCCAUAUUCAACGAAAGGGUUGAAGAAAGAGGAACAAACAGAGGGUCACGUUGCUUGAACACUAGGCUCCUGUGGACCGAUACCUCCGUUGUUAUCUCCAGUGAGAUAUGGUGUUCCUCCUCUGCCUUCUCUUUCUAUUCAUCUCUAUGCCCUCCUCUGUUCUGUCAGCUCUUCUAUCACUCUUCGCCUGUUUAUCGUUUCUACUGUAGUUUAAAGAAUUAAUACUUCAUGACUUGCUGCUGCUGUUUUCUCAACACUAGUGCUAAGUGUAUGCCAUUUAUGUUGCUCA
Molecule: long non-coding RNA, 1946 nt
Organism: Triticum dicoccoides
Lineage: Eukaryota; Viridiplantae; Streptophyta; Magnoliopsida; Poales; Poaceae
Exons: 2
Source: RefSeq, a predicted model, not a curated record